This 434-nucleotide ribosomal RNA is filed under the name uncultured Escherichia sp. RNAcentral describes it as "bacterial SSU rRNA". It matches the Rfam family "Bacterial small subunit ribosomal RNA", at positions 958 to 1393 of the family's 1533-position model. The record is from RNAcentral. Lineage: Bacteria; Pseudomonadati; Pseudomonadota; Gammaproteobacteria; Enterobacterales; Enterobacteriaceae.
AACGCGAAGAACCUUACCUGGUCUUGACAUCCACGGAAGUUUUCAGAGAUGAGAAUGUGCCUUCGGGAACCGUGAGACAGGUGCUGCAUGGCUGUCGUCAGCUCGUGUUGUGAAAUGUUGGGUUAAGUCCCGCAACGAGCGCAACCCUUAUCCUUUGUUGCCAGCGGUCCGGCCGGGAACUCAAAGGAGACUGCCAGUGAUAAACUGGAGGAAGGUGGGGAUGACGUCAAGUCAUCAUGGCCCUUACGACCAGGGCUACACACGUGCUACAAUGGCGCAUACAAAGAGAAGCGACCUCGCGAGAGCAAGCGGACCUCAUAAAGUGCGUCGUAGUCCGGAUUGGAGUCUGCAACUCGACUCCAUGAAGUCGGAAUCGCUAGUAAUCGUGGAUCAGAAUGCUGCGGUGAAUACGUUCCCGGGUCUUGUACACACGC